RNAcentral lists this ribosomal RNA (406 nucleotides) under uncultured bacterium. RNAcentral describes it as "partial 16S ribosomal RNA". It matches the Rfam family "Bacterial small subunit ribosomal RNA", at positions 30 to 526 of the family's 1533-position model. The record is from RNAcentral.
AUUGAACGCUGGCGGCAGGCCUAACACAUGCAAUUCGAACGCGUGGCGGACGGGUGAGUAAUGUCUGGGAAACUGCCCGAUGGAGGGGGAUAACUACUGGAAAAGGUAGCUAAUACCGCAUACCAUCGGAUGUGCCCAGAUGGGAUUAGCUAGUAGGUGGGGUAACGGCUCACGUAGGCGACGAUCCCUAGCUGGUCUGAGAUGAUGACCAGUCACACUGGACGUGAGACACGGUCCAUACUCCUACGUGAGGCAGCAGUAGGGAAUAUUGCACAAUUGGCGCAAGCCGGAUGCAGCCAUGCCGCGUGUAUGAAGAAGGCCUUCGGGUUGUAAAGUACUUUCAGCGAGGAGGCGUUACUCGCAGAAGAAGCAUCGGCUAACUCCGUGCCAGCAGCCGCGGUAAUAC